RNAcentral lists this ribosomal RNA (445 nucleotides) under uncultured bacterium. RNAcentral describes it as "partial 16S ribosomal RNA". It matches the Rfam family "Bacterial small subunit ribosomal RNA", at positions 354 to 796 of the family's 1533-position model. The record is from RNAcentral.
GUGAGGAAUAUUGGUCAAUGGGCGGGAGCCUGAACCAGCCAAGUCGCGUGAAGGAAGAAGGAUCUAUGGUUCGUAAACUUCUUUUGCAGGGGAAUAAAGUGCAGGACGUGUCCUGUUUUGUAUGUACCCUGAGAAUAAGGAUCGGCUAACUCCGUGCCAGCAACCGCGGUAAUACGGAGGAUCCGAGCGUUAUCCGGAUUUAUUGGGUUUAAAGGGUGCGUAGGUGGUUUGAUAAGUCAGCGGUGAAAGUUUGCAGCUUAACUGUAAAAAUGCCGUUGAAACUGUCGGACUUGAGUGUAAAUGAGGUAGGCGGAAUGCGUGGUGUAGCGGUGAAAUGCAUAGAUAUCACGCAGAACUCCGAUUGCGAAGGCAGCUUACUAAGCUACAACUGACACUGAAGCACGAAAGCGUGGGGAUCAAACAGGAUUAGAUACCCGAGUAGUCC